RNAcentral lists this ribosomal RNA (399 nucleotides) under uncultured bacterium. Its description in RNAcentral is "bacterial SSU rRNA". It matches the Rfam family "Bacterial small subunit ribosomal RNA", at positions 29 to 455 of the family's 1533-position model. The record is from RNAcentral.
AACGAACGCUGGCGGCAUGCCUAACACAUGCAAGUCGAACGAAGCCUUCGGGCUUAGUGGCGCACGGGUGCGUAACGCGUGGGAAUCUGCCCUUGGGUUCGGAAUAACAGUUAGAAAUGACUGCUAAUACCGAAUGAUGUCUUCGGACCAAAGAUUUAUCGCCCAAGGAUGAGCCCGCGUCGGAUUAGCUAGUUGGUGAGGUAAAGGCUCACCAAGGCGACGAUCCGUAGCUGGUCUGAGAGGAUGAUCAGCCACACUGGGACUGAGACACGGCCCAGACUCCUACGGGAGGCAGCAGUGGGGAAUAUUGGACAAUGGGCGAAAGCCUGAUCCAGCAAUGCCGCGUGAGUGAUGAAGGCCUUAGGGUUGUAAAGCUCUUUUACCCGGGAUGAUAAUGAC